GCGCUCGUAGCUCAAUUGGAUAGAGUGCCACACUGCGGAUGUGGAGGUCGGGAGUUCGAGUCUCCCCGAGCGCGCCA
This 77-nucleotide transfer RNA is filed under the name Thermotogota bacterium. RNAcentral's name for it is "Thermotogae bacterium (wastewater metagenome) tRNA-Arg". It matches the Rfam family "tRNA". Rfam says of the family: Transfer RNA (tRNA) molecules are approximately 80 nucleotides in length. Their secondary structure includes four short double-helical elements and three loops (D, anti-codon, and T loops). The record is from RNAcentral. Lineage: Bacteria; Thermotogati; Thermotogota. RNAcentral also lists the same sequence under 1 other name.